Unclassified non-coding RNA from Ictidomys tridecemlineatus (thirteen-lined ground squirrel), 222 nucleotides. Lineage: Eukaryota; Metazoa; Chordata; Mammalia; Rodentia; Sciuridae. The record is from Ensembl.
CUGUGCCUCCUGAUUGCCGAGUGUUCACCUGCCUUCUGUGGCUAGCCCAUCAGCCUAUAGACAUGGUACCUGGAUUUUUGCUCAUGGUGAUUCCUACCACCUUACUACUGUACAAAGGCAUCAUUUCAGUGGACACUGUGACCCAAGAGGCAUUCAGCUGUCAUGAUGUGGCCUUUAUCGCCACUCCUUUCCUAUUGUACCCAGAUUCAGCACAGCUCUUUA